UGUCAGACAGAGUAGGUAUCACGAAAUCAGUACAGUUAGGAGAGAAGGAGCGCUCAACCUUCCGAAAGGUAAAUAUAUAUCCUGAUACGUCCGGGCGGACGCUGCUUGCAUGGUACCGCUUGUAGGUGAUGCGGUAUUUCAUGCCCGGUGACGUUAUGUGCCUAUUGUAACCUACCGACAGGCAUACAGGA
This 191-nucleotide small RNA is filed under the name uncultured Ruminococcus sp. Its description in RNAcentral is "RT-2 RNA". It matches the Rfam family "RT-2 RNA", at positions 4 to 199 of the family's 222-position model. Rfam says of the family: Coriobacteriales (Actinobacteria), Clostridiales (Firmicutes). Downstream gene Lineage: Bacteria; Bacillati; Bacillota; Clostridia; Eubacteriales; Oscillospiraceae. The record is from RNAcentral.